RNAcentral lists this ribosomal RNA (505 nucleotides) under uncultured bacterium. RNAcentral's name for it is "bacterial SSU rRNA". It matches the Rfam family "Bacterial small subunit ribosomal RNA", at positions 15 to 507 of the family's 1533-position model. The record is from RNAcentral.
GAUCAUGGCUCGAGGAUGAACGCUAGCUACAGGGCUUAACACAUGCAAGUCGAGGGGAAACGACAUCGAAAGCUUGCUUUGAUGGGCGUCGACCGGCGCACGGGUGAGUAACGCGUAUCCAACCUGCCCACACUUGGGGAUAACCUUGCGAAAGUAAGACUAAUACCCAAUGAUAUCCCACGAAGGCAUCCGAAUGGGAUUAAAGAUUUAUCGGUGAUGGAUGGGGAUGCGUCCGAUUAGCUUGUUGGCGGGGUAACGGCCCACCAAGGCAACGAUCGGUAGGGGUUCUGAGAGGAAGGUCCCCCACAUUGGAACUGAGACACGGUCCAAACUCCUACGGGAGGCAGCAGUGAGGAAUAUUGGUCAAUGGGCGGAAGCCUGAACCAGCCAUGCCGCGUGAAGGACUAAGGCCCUAUGGGUCGUAAACUUCUUUAGACGCAGAGCAAUAAGGGUCUCGUGAGAUCCGAUGAGAGUAUGCGUAGAAUAAGCAUCGGCUAACUCCGUG